Molecule: long non-coding RNA, 260 nt
Filed under: Gallus gallus (chicken)
Lineage: Eukaryota; Metazoa; Chordata; Aves; Galliformes; Phasianidae
Description: lncRNA (ENSGALG00010017857.1)
Source: RNAcentral
CUAACCUAAGCCAGCCCUGUCUCAGUUUAAGACUAUUCCUCCUUAUCCUACCACUUUCCACCCUCACAAACAGCCGUUCCCCUUCCUGUUUAUACGCUUCCUUCAAGUACUGGAAGGCCACAAUGAGGUCCCCCUGGAGCCUUCUCUUCGCCAAGCUAAACAAGCCCAGUUCCCUCAACCUUUCCUCAUAGGAGAGGUGCUCCUGCCCUCUGAUCAUCUUAGUGGCCCUCCUCUGGACCCGCUCCAACAGCUCCACACCC